GAUGAACGCUGGCGGCGUGCCUAACACAUGCAAGUCGAACGGAGUCGUUUUGGAAAUCUCUUCGGAGAUGGAAUUCUCGACUUAGUGGCGGACGGGUGAGUAACGCGUGAGCAAUCUGCCUUUAAGAGGGGGAUAACAGUCGGAAACGGCUGCUAAUACCGCAUAAAGCAUUAAAUUCGCAUGUUUUUGAUGCCAAAGGAGCAAUCCGCUUUUAGAUGAGCUCGCGUCUGAUUAGCUAGUUGGCGGGGUAACGGCCCACCAAGGCGACGAUCAGUAGCCGGACUGAGAGGUUGAACGGCCACAUUGGGACUGAGACACGGCCCAGACUCCUACGGGAGGCAGCAAUGGGGAAUAUUGCGCAAUGGGGGAAACCCUGACGCAGCAACGCCGCGUGAUUGAAGAAGGCCUUCGGGUUGUAAAGAUCUUUAAUCAGGGACGAAACAAAUGACGGUACCUGAAGAAUAAGCUCCGGCUAACUACGUG
Molecule: ribosomal RNA, 483 nt
Filed under: uncultured bacterium
Lineage: Bacteria
Description: partial 16S ribosomal RNA
Rfam family: Bacterial small subunit ribosomal RNA
Source: RNAcentral